Molecule: small RNA, 119 nt
Filed under: Salmonella enterica
Lineage: Bacteria; Pseudomonadati; Pseudomonadota; Gammaproteobacteria; Enterobacterales; Enterobacteriaceae
Also listed under: 3 other names
Description: RtT RNA
Rfam family: RtT RNA
About the family: This family represents a bacterial cis-regulatory element known as RtT RNA. The exact function of RtT is unknown although it is thought that it may be involved in changing the cellular response in relation to amino acid starvation.
Source: RNAcentral
UGUAUCUGAAACCUGACGAGGAUGAGAACCUCCGGGGGCAAGAGGUUCGACCCGAGCGAAGCGAGAGAACGUUGCGUCAGCAACGGCCCGCAGUGGCAAGUCAUCCUCUGUCACCGGCA